UACGAAGGGGGCUAGCGUUGCUCGGAAUUACUGGGCGUAAAGCGUGCGCAGGCGGGCUUUUAAGCCAGACGUGAAAUCCCCGGGCUUAACCUGGGAAUGGCGUUUGGGACUGGAAGUCUGGAGUACGGCAGAGGAGACUGGAAUUCCUGGUGUAGCAGUGAAAUGCGUAGAUAUCAGGAGGAACACCGAUGGCGAAGGCAGGUCUCUGGGCUGAUACUGACGCUCAUGCACGAAAGCGUGGGGAGCAAACAGG
RNAcentral lists this ribosomal RNA (253 nucleotides) under uncultured bacterium. RNAcentral's name for it is "partial 16S ribosomal RNA". It matches the Rfam family "Bacterial small subunit ribosomal RNA", at positions 524 to 776 of the family's 1533-position model. The record is from RNAcentral.